Molecule: ribosomal RNA, 255 nt
Filed under: uncultured bacterium
Lineage: Bacteria
Description: partial 16S ribosomal RNA
Rfam family: Bacterial small subunit ribosomal RNA
Source: RNAcentral
CAAACUGGAGAUGGCGACCGGCGCACGGGUGCGUAACGCGUAUGCAACCUACCUUUAACAGGGGCAUAACACUGAGAAAUUGGUACUAAUUCCCCAUAACAUUCGAGAAGGCAUCUUCUUGGGUUAAAAACUCCGGUGGUUAAAGAUAGGCAUGCGUUCCAUUAGGCAGUUGGCGGGGUAACGGCCCACCAAACCGACGAUGGAUAGGGGUUCUGAGAGGAAGGUCCCCCACAUUGGUACUGAGACACGGACCAA